CGGCAUUUGUUACUGAUAGGGCAGGCACACCGGCUGCGUCACAGUGUCAUUAGAUCAGCUGCGUUGACACUACUUCGUCGUCCUAUAGCUGCAUCGCGGUAAUUGAAAGAAAACCCACUUGUGAAAAUUAUGGUUGGAGAUUCAUCACAAAAUGAGUCUGCAGUUAUCAUCAUUGACCUCACAGAUGAAAAUCUUGGUUCUGGUAGACUUCGUGAAGAUGUCAGUUUGGUUUCUGCAGAUGAAAAGCAGCUGGAAAAGAAAACAACCAAUCCCUUCUACAGGAGGAAGCGUCAUAUGCUAUUCAGGGAGUCGGAAAACCCACUCGUCCACACUGGAUGC
Long non-coding RNA from Schistocerca cancellata (South American locust), 339 nucleotides. RefSeq lists it as uncharacterized. The record is from RefSeq and is a predicted model, not a curated record. The transcript is spliced from 3 exons. Lineage: Eukaryota; Metazoa; Arthropoda; Insecta; Orthoptera; Acrididae.